UGGGGAAUAUUGCACAAUGGGCGAAAGCCUGAUGCAGCAACGCCGCGUGAGUGAUGAAGGUCUUCGGAUUGUAAAGCUCUGUCUUUUGGGACGAUAAUGACGGUACCAAAGGAGGAAGCCACGGCUAACUACGUGCCAGCAGCCGCGGUAAUACGUAGGUGGCGAGCGUUGUCCGGAUUUACUGGGCGUAAAGGGUGCGUAGGCGGAUGUUUAAGUGAGAUGUGAAAUACCCGGGCUUAACUUGGGUGCUGCAUUUCAAACUGGAUAUCUAGAGUGCAGGAGAGGAGAAUGGAAUUCCUAGUGUAGCGGUGAAAUGCGUAGAGAUUAGGAAGAACACCAGUGGCGAAGGCGAUUCUCUGGACUGUAACUGACGCUGAGGCACGAAAGCGUGGGUAGCAAACAGGAUUAGAUACCCUGGUAGUCCACGCCGUAAACGAUGAGUACUAGGUGUAGGAGGUAUCGACCCCUUCUGUGCCGCAGUAAACACAUUCAAGUACUCCGCCUGGGAAGUACGAUCGCAAGAUUAAAACUCUAAAGUGAAUUGACGGGUC
This 551-nucleotide ribosomal RNA is filed under the name uncultured bacterium. Its description in RNAcentral is "partial 16S ribosomal RNA". It matches the Rfam family "Bacterial small subunit ribosomal RNA", at positions 355 to 919 of the family's 1533-position model. The record is from RNAcentral.